AGAGCGAACGCUGGCGGCAGGCCUAACACAUGCAAGUCGAGCGCCCGUAGCAAUACGGGAGCGGCAGACGGGAGAGUAACACGUGGGAACGCGCCCUUCGGUUCGGAAUAACUCAGGGAAACUUGAGCUAAUACCGGAUACGCCCUUACGGGGAAAGAUUUAUUGCCGAAGGAACGGCCCGCGUCCGAUUAGCUAGUUGGUGAGGUAAUGGCUCACCAAGGCGACGAUCGGUAGCUGGUCUGAGAGGAUGACCAGCCUCACUGGGACUGAGACACGGCCCAGACUCCUACGGGAGGCAGCAGUGGGGAAUAUUGGACAAUGGGCGCAAGCCUGAUCCAGCCAUGCCGCGUGGAUGAUGAAGGCCUUAGGGUUGUAAAGUCCUUUAACGGGAGAUAAUGACGGUACCGUAGAAUAAGCCCGGCUAACUUCGCGCCAGCAGCCGC
RNAcentral lists this ribosomal RNA (443 nucleotides) under uncultured bacterium. Its description in RNAcentral is "SSU rRNA". It matches the Rfam family "Bacterial small subunit ribosomal RNA", at positions 26 to 518 of the family's 1533-position model. The record is from RNAcentral.